This 74-nucleotide transfer RNA is filed under the name Marmota monax (woodchuck). RNAcentral's name for it is "tRNA.Val". Lineage: Eukaryota; Metazoa; Chordata; Mammalia; Rodentia; Sciuridae. The record is from RNAcentral.
GGGAUAUAGCUCAGUUGGCAGAGUCCUUGCCUUACAUGCACGAGGCCCUGGGUUCUAAUCCCCAGCACCACCCA